RNAcentral lists this ribosomal RNA (432 nucleotides) under uncultured Spirochaeta sp. RNAcentral's name for it is "bacterial SSU rRNA". It matches the Rfam family "Bacterial small subunit ribosomal RNA", at positions 948 to 1382 of the family's 1533-position model. The record is from RNAcentral. Lineage: Bacteria; Pseudomonadati; Spirochaetota; Spirochaetia; Spirochaetales; Spirochaetaceae.
AAUUCGAUGGUACGCGAGAAACCUUACCAGGGCUUGACAUACACCGGAAGCGCCGUGAAAGCGGCGUGCCGCUUGCGGCCGGUGAACAGGUGCUGCAUGGCUGUCGCCAGCUCGUGCUGUGAAGUGUUGGGUUAAGUCCCGCAACGAGCGCAACCCCUGCCGUCUGUUGCCACCACGAAAGGUGGGGACUCAGGCGGGACCGCCGGUGACAAACCGGAGGAAGGUGGGACGACGUCAAGUCAUCAUGGCCCUUAUGUCCUGGGCCACACACGUGCUACAAUGGCCGGUACAGAGCGCAGCGAGGCCGCGAGGCGGAGCGAAUCGCUUAAAGCCGGUCCCAGUACGGAUUGGAGUCUGCAACCCGACUCCAUGAAGUUGGAAUCGCUAGUAAUCGCGCAUCAGCAUGGCGCGGUGAAUACGUUCCCGGGCCUU